GGCGCUGCUGUUCCCCGCGCGCCAGGGAGACGAGCCGCCCCCUCCCUGCCUCCCGGAAGCUCAGAUGCUGGGCAAGAAAUGCAUUUUGACCUUAUUCAGGAAGAAUAUCAAGUAUUUAGGGAAAAGUAUUCAGAACUAUCAGUAUUUUUUUAUAUACAAUGCAAGAGAAGUAUUGAUAGACUCUUCUCUUUAAAUACAACUGAACAUAAUGUGAUUUAUUUCCAAGAGUUGAUCUUUUAAUUUUUUUUUUUAUGCAGUUCAGAGUGAAGCAAUGACAGUAAAACUGCUGGGAUUCGUGGCUAGAUGUUCCCAUGUGUUAAUGAAAAUAUGUGAGUGCCAAGGCCUUCAUAAACCUAGGCAUCCAGUGUUAAAACUAAGCAAUGAUGUUGUCAGGGCAUCAUUCAGAACUCUAGCACCAAACAAAGUCUUGAACUUGUGCGCUCCUGAAACUGCUACCUGUUGCUUGACAAAUCUGCGUGAACGACUCAAGAAUUGGCAAAUGUCAGAAGCAAAGAUUGUGAAUUACCAGAUCGGAGAAGUUUAUCCUCCAUUCAGGGACCAUUUUGAUGCUCUAAGGACUGUGAACUACAAGCAUGGACUAAGUAGUGUUAGAAAGUUUAUGAAAAUGCCAACAAGAUCUUAUUCAGUUGUAUCAACUGGUAAAAUACUGCCAAAACAAAGUAUUCUGCCAAUUAAGAGACCACCGAAGGCACCUAGGACCAAACAGCCAUCCAGAGCUAACCAGCCACUAGUGUCAGAAACUGAGGAUCUGAUGCAGUGUACAGCCUUCGCAACAGCAGAUGAAUAUCAUCUUGGUAAUCUGUGUCAUGACCUGACUUCAUAUGGAUAUGUUGAAAUAACAAGUUUGCCUAGAGAUGCAGCAAAUGUUUUAGUGAUUGGCACGGAAAACGCUGCAAAAGAAUAUGAUCCUGGUAUGAUCUAUUUCUUCAGGGAAGGGUCUGUUGUGUUUUGGAAUGUGGAAGAGAAAACGAUGAAGAAAAUAAUGCAAGUGCUGGAGCGGCAUGAAAUUCAGCCUUAUGAAGUUGCACUGGUUCAUUGGGAGAAUGAAGAAAUUAACUACAGGAGAGGAGAAGGCCAGUCAAAGCUCCACAGAGGAGAAAUCUUGUUAAAUUCUGACCUGGAUAUUGAUGAAGUAAUUCUGCAGAAAUUUGCCUUUUCAAAUGCUCUUUGCCUUUCUGUAAAACUGGCCAUUUGGGAAUCAUCCUUGGAUAAUUUUGUGGAAUCUAUCCAAUCAAUUCCUGAGAUAUUAAAAUCAAGAAAAAAAGUGAAACUCUCUCAUGCUGAUGUAAUGCAGAAAAUUGGGGAACUCUUUGCCUUACGGCACUGUAUAAAUCUGAGUUCAGACCUGCUGAUAACUCCUGACUUCUACUGGGACAGAGAAAACCUUGAAGAGCUUUAUGACAAAACCUGUCAGUUUCUCAGCAUUAAUCGCAGAGUUAAGGAUGGAUCCUGCACUGCUCUCUACUGUUGUGGUCACUGUUAUGAACACAUUGCGGCUGGUCAUUCAGUAUAUCAUGAACAGGAAUCAGAGGUGCCUGACGUGCUGUGUGCCAUGGAAAGAAACAACAUCAGAUUACUUUUGGCAUUCACAGAGCAGCUGCACACGGUGACUGUUGCUUUUGGCCUUGGGAAACAAGCACUGAGUGUUAGGAUCACAUCAUUAUGCAGGUCUGGGAUGACAAGCAGUAGCUGCAGAACUUUCGGAUGUGGAAAGCAACCUGGAACUGUACGUGGAGCUCGCCCCAGCACUGCGGCACAAGGACACCAAAAUGAGAGCUGCCCUCUCGGUGGAGAAGUGCAUGGCAAUUGCUGUGUGGAAGCUGGUAACUCCAGACUGCUACCAGAUGGUCACGAAUCAGUUUGAAGUCGGUAAUGAAUGAGAAACUUCAGCACUGCAUGGAGCUGACAGACCUGAUGCGAAAUCACCUGAAUGAAAAACGUGCCCUGCGCUUGGAAUGGAUGAUAGUCAUACUCAUCACUAUAGAGGUCAUGUUUGAACUUGCCCG
This is an RNA transcript of Mauremys mutica (yellowpond turtle), 2027 nucleotides long. It is a transcript of the gene named required for meiotic nuclear division 1 homolog, with no coding region annotated. The transcript has 13 exons. The record is from RefSeq and is a predicted model, not a curated record. Lineage: Eukaryota; Metazoa; Chordata; Testudines; Geoemydidae.